Molecule: ribosomal RNA, 925 nt
Filed under: uncultured archaeon
Lineage: Archaea
Description: bacterial SSU rRNA
Rfam family: Archaeal small subunit ribosomal RNA
Source: RNAcentral
UUUUCCGGUUGAUCCUGCCGGAGAUCACUGCUAUCGGAUUGGGAUUAAGUCAUGCAAGUUUGCAACUGUUUGCCUGGCGAACUGCUCCGUAACGCUCAGUAACACGUAGCUAAUCUACCCUUAGGAUGGAGAUAACCCCGGAAAACUGGGGCUAAUAUCCAAUAGAUGAGAAAUUCUGGAAUGACUUCUCGUUCAAAGAUUUCUUAAACCAUGCAUUAAGUUAUGCCUAAGGAUGAGGCUGCGGCCGAUCAGGUUGUUGGUGAGGUAAUGGCUCACCAAGCCUAUAACCGGUACGGGCCGUGAGAGCGGUAGCCCGGAGAUGGGCACUGAGACAAGGGCCCAGGCCCUACGGGGCGCAGCAGGCGCGAAAACUCCACAAUGCGCGCAAGCGUGAUGGGGCUAUCCUGAGUGCAGUCCGCAGAGGAUUGCUUUUCUACAGUGUAAGUAAUUGUAGGAAUAAGGGGAGGGCAAGUCUGGUGUCAGCCGCCGCGGUAAUACCAGCUCCCCGAGUGGUGGGGAUGAUUAUUGGGCCUAAAGCGUUCGUAGCCUGCUUAAAAAGUCUUCUGUUAAAUCCAGCGACCUAAUCGUUGGUCUGCAAAAGAUACUUUUGGGCUAGAGGGCGGAAGAAGCCGACGGUACUCUUGGGGUAGGGGUGAAAUCCUAUAAUCCUAGGAGGACCACCAGUGGCGAAGGCGGUCGGCUAGAACGCGCCUGACGGUGAGGGACGAAAGCUGGGGGAGCGAUCCGGAUUAGAUACCCGGGUAGUCCCAGCUGUAAACGAUGCAAGCUAGGUGUUGGCAUAACUACGUGUUAUGUCAGUGCCGUAGGGAAGCCGUUAAGCUUGCCGCCUGGGGAGUACGGUCGCAAGACUGAAACUUAAAGGAAUUGGCGGGGGAGCACCACAAGGGGUGAAGCUUGCGGUUCA